GGUAAGUCAGGCUCUGAUACAGGGGAAAUGGAGGGGCAGAGGCUAACAGAGCUCUGCCCAGAUGCCAGCUCUUCUGCUGGGAGGGGGUCAGUGGGUAUCGCAGGCUCAUCCACUGCCCCCAGGACCCGGUUGGGAUGUAGCUGGUUUCACUUACCUCCUCCUCCUGGCAUCCCUGCAGAGCUGGUUGGGGAUCUGGACCGCCCGUCCAGCCUCCCUGUAGGACUGGC
This is a non-coding RNA of Pelobates cultripes (western spadefoot toad), 227 nucleotides long. The record is from the annotation of a GenBank genome assembly. NCBI's taxonomy places the organism in Eukaryota, Metazoa, Chordata, Amphibia, Anura, Pelobatidae.